GCCAGCAUGGUGUAAUGGUUUGAGCACUGGACUAUAACUUCAGAAAUGAGGGUUCAAGUCUCCGCUUGGCC
This is a non-coding RNA of Phrynosoma platyrhinos (Desert horned lizard), 71 nucleotides long. Lineage: Eukaryota; Metazoa; Chordata; Lepidosauria; Squamata; Phrynosomatidae. The record is from the annotation of a GenBank genome assembly.